GAGAGAGAGCUUGCUUUCUCGAGCGAGUGGCGAACGGGUGAGUAACGCGUGAGGAACCUGCCUCAAAGAGGGGGACAACAGUUGGAAACGACUGCUAAUACCGCAUAAGCCCACGACCCGGCAUCGGGUUGAGGGAAAAGGAGCAAUCCGCUUUGAGAUGGCCUCGCGUCCGAUUAGCUAGUUGGUGAGGUAAUGGCCCACCAAGGCAACGAUCGGUAGCCGGACUGAGAGGUUGAACGGCCACAUUGGGACUGAGACACGGCCCAGACUCCUACGGGAGGCAGCAGUGGGGAAUAUUGCACAAUGGGGGAAACCCUGAUGCAGCGACGCCGCGUGGAGGAAGAAGGUCUUCGGAUUGUAAACUCCUGUUGUUGAGGAAGAUAAUGACGGUACUCAACAAGGAAGUGACGGCUAACUACGUGCCAGCAGCCGCGGUAAAACGUAGGUCACAAGCGUUGUCCGGAAUUACUGGGUGUAAAGGGAGCGCAGGCGGGCAGACAAGUUGGAAGUGAAAUCCAUGGGCUCAACCCAUGAACUGCUUUCAAAACUGUAUGUCUUGAGUAGUGCAGAGGUAGGCGGAAUUCCCGGUGUAGCGGUGGAAUGCGUAGAUAUCGGGAGGAACACCAGUGGCGAAGGCGGCCUACUGGGCACCAACUGACGCUGAGGCUCGAAAGUGUGGGUAGCAAACAGGAUUAGAUACCCUGGUAGUCCACACCGUAAACGAUGAUUGCUAGGUGUGGGGGGUCUGACCCCCUCCGUGC
Molecule: ribosomal RNA, 761 nt
Filed under: uncultured bacterium
Lineage: Bacteria
Description: bacterial SSU rRNA
Rfam family: Bacterial small subunit ribosomal RNA
Source: RNAcentral